GAUGAAGAACGUAGCAAAAUGCGAUAAGUAAUGUGAAUUGCAGAAUUCAGUGAAUCAUCGAAUCUUUGAACGCACAUUGCGCCCGCCAGUAUUCUGGCGGGCAUGCCUGUUCGAGCGUCAUUUCGACCCUCAAGCACAGCUUGGUGUUGGGACUCGCGUUAAUUCGCGUUCCUCAAAUUGAUUGGCGGUCACGUCGAGCUUCCAUAGCGUAGUAGUAAAACCCUCGUUACUGGUAAUCGUCGCGGCCACGCCGUUAAACCCCAACUUCUGAAUGUUGACCUCGGAUCAGGUAGGAAUACCCGCUGAACUUAAGCAUAUCAAUAAGCGGAGGA
RNAcentral lists this unclassified non-coding RNA (332 nucleotides) under soil metagenome. Its description in RNAcentral is "partial contains 5.8S ribosomal RNA, internal transcribed spacer 2, and large subunit ribosomal RNA". The stretch from base 1 to 120 matches the Rfam family "5.8S ribosomal RNA", at positions 35 to 154 of the family's 154-position model. The record is from RNAcentral.